Molecule: unclassified non-coding RNA, 256 nt
Filed under: plant metagenome
Description: partial contains small subunit ribosomal RNA, internal transcribed spacer 1, and 5.8S ribosomal RNA
Rfam family: Eukaryotic small subunit ribosomal RNA (bases 1-53)
Source: RNAcentral
GGAGUAAAAGUCGUAACAAGGUUUCCGUAGGUGAACCUGCGGAAGGAUCGUUACCGAGUGAGGGCCCUCUGGGUCCAACCUCCCACCCGUGUUUAUUAUACCUUGUUGCUUUGGCGGGCCCGCCUCACGGCCGCCGGGGGGCUUCUGCCCCCGGGCCCGUGCCCGCCGAAGACACCUUAGAACUCUGUCUGAAGAUUGCAGUCUGAGUAAAAAUAUAAAUUAUUUAAAACUUUCAACAACGGAUCUCUUGGUUCCG